This 801-nucleotide long non-coding RNA is filed under the name Marmota monax (woodchuck). The record is from RNAcentral. Lineage: Eukaryota; Metazoa; Chordata; Mammalia; Rodentia; Sciuridae.
GUUACCCAGGUCUGGGUUUUAUGAUCCUCCUCUCCUGCCUCUGAUUCUUAAAUAGCUGGGAUUAUAGGCUUGUGCCACCAAUCCCCACUAUCCCAUCUUUCUUCCAGUUACUUUUAAACUCUGGGAAACUGUCAGCAAUCAAUUAUGAGAUGACAUUUAUGGACCUUUACUCUUUCGUCUUAUAACCAUCUUUGGUGUCCUCAGCCAUAGCUAACAUUUAUCCAGUGACAGCCAAGAGUGCUUCUGCUAAGAAUUUCUCAGUCAUGCCUUGGUUGGCUGAAUCUUGUACUCUUAUAGAUUACUUCAAAAGAGCUAGCUCAAGGGUAUAAUAUUACUAAAUAUGUUUUAAGAACUUUCUCUAUAGCCUGAUACCUGAAAGACUCUACUAUUUUUACAGUCUUUGGUUUGCCCUGUAUACACUACCUACAUAGUGUCUUAGGGCUGUCGUAGGAAAUUACUACAAACGGGGUGGUCUGAAAUGACAGAAACUUAAUCUGUCCAAGUUCAGGAGGCCAGAAGUUUAAUAACAAGAAAUCAGCAGAAUCAUUCUCUUUUGGUAGAGUAGAGGGGAAAUUCCUUGCUUUCCUCGUCCACCUUCAAGUGACUCCAGACUUCCUUGGCAUGUCAUAUUAGAUGGUUGUAUAAUUUUCCUCUACUUCAUGGAAAUUUUCAAGCCAUCUGAAAUAUUUUAAUCUGCAUUUUCUAUAUUUUUCAGUGGACAUUGCAGUUUCUUUCUCAUUUAUAUUUGGGACAGGUACCUUGGUACUGAUGGAAGAAAGGUGACAGGACAGGAAUUUGGGU